RNAcentral lists this ribosomal RNA (502 nucleotides) under uncultured bacterium. RNAcentral describes it as "bacterial SSU rRNA". It matches the Rfam family "Bacterial small subunit ribosomal RNA", at positions 30 to 524 of the family's 1533-position model. The record is from RNAcentral.
AUUGAACGCUGGCGGCAUGCCUUACACAUGCAAGUCGAACGGUAACGGGCCUUCGGGUGCCGACGAGUGGCGAACGGGUGAGUAAUGUAUCGGAACGUACCUUUCAGUGGGGGAUAACGUAGCGAAAGUUACGCUAAUACCGCAUAUUCUGUGAGCAGGAAAGCAGGGGAUCGCAAGACCUUGCGCUGAUUGAGCGGCCGAUAUCAGAUUAGCUAGUUGGUGAGGUAAAGGCUCACCAAGGCGACGAUCUGUAGCGGGUCUGAGAGGAUGAUCGCCACACUGGAACUGAGACACGGUCCAGACUCCUACGGGAGGCAGCAUGGGGAAUUUUGGACAAUGGACGAAAGUCUGAUCCAGCAAUGCCGCGUGCAGGACGAAGGCCUUCGGUUGGUAAACUGUUUUGUUACAGUAACGAAAAAGUACUUUAAUAACACUAAGAGGCUCAUGACGGUACUGUAAGAAUAAGACACCGGCUAACUACGUAGCCAGCAGCCGCGGUAAC